AUAUCCGUCAUGGAGGUUACUGAGAAGGUGGUGCCCAAAAACGCCCAGCUGCUAUCUCUUGGCCACAAGGACACUUGUCGCCUCUUGGAGGUGUAUGUGAAGCGCAGCAUCAGUUUAAAUGAUGGGACAUGUGAGGACCAGAGGUCACCAACAACGCCUCAGAAGUGGGUGACACUGUCAGAGAAAUGCAGAAGGGUCCGCCGGCAUUCUAGUGACCCCUUGAUCACCUUGGAGCCCAGCACACCUGACGAGGGCAUUGCCAGUAGCACACCACCUGAUGAGGAAGUUGUUAUACCAAAUGUGUCUCUAGUAGAAAUCCCUGGACCUGCUGACAUUCCUGAGAUUGAGACUUCUACUGAACUGGAGAAUAAGUCUAAAAAGGGCAAGAAGAAGAGCAAAAAGACCUCUUUCUGGAAAGGUUUUCUGGGGGUUUUCACGACGAAGGGGAGUGACAAGAAAGACGAGCAGGAGUCUGGCACAGAGAAAGAUGGACAGUCACAAGGAACCUUGCAGAAAAAGAAAUCCAUAAGGCAAAGGAGCUCCAUGAGGAGGUUAUCUCUGAGAAAAAUCAAGAUUGACAGCCACAGAGGGUCUGUGAAGAGACCAUUGGCUUUGGACAGGGCCAAGACCACUGACAUAACUGGAGUUGAAUCGGUUGAGAGUGUGGGGCCUACUGACUCGUACUAUGAGAAAGUUUCAGAAGAGCUGGAGAAGAUUGUGCAUGAGGUGAAAGAGACAGAGGCAGCUCUUACAGAUGGCUGUAUCACAACCGUCCAUGAUUUGGAAUCCCAUAGGGCGGCGCACAAUUGGCCCAGCGUCGUCCAGGUUUGGCUGGUGUA
Oncorhynchus tshawytscha (Chinook salmon) is the source of this 839-nucleotide long non-coding RNA. NCBI's taxonomy places the organism in Eukaryota, Metazoa, Chordata, Actinopteri, Salmoniformes, Salmonidae. The record is from Ensembl.